RNAcentral lists this ribosomal RNA (463 nucleotides) under Providencia vermicola. RNAcentral describes it as "bacterial SSU rRNA". It matches the Rfam family "Bacterial small subunit ribosomal RNA", at positions 15 to 476 of the family's 1533-position model. Lineage: Bacteria; Pseudomonadati; Pseudomonadota; Gammaproteobacteria; Enterobacterales; Morganellaceae. The record is from RNAcentral.
GAUCCUGGCUCAGAUUGAACGCUGGCGGCAGGCCUAACACAUGCAAGUCGAGCGGUAACAGGGGAAGCUUGCUUCCCGCUGACGAGCGGCGGACGGGUGAGUAAUGUAUGGGGAUCUGCCCGAUAGAGGGGGAUAACCACUGGAAACGGUGGCUAAUACCGCAUAAUCUCUUAGGAGCAAAGCAGGGGAACUUCGGUCCUUGCGCUAUCGGAUGAACCCAUAUGGGAUUAGCUAGUAGGUGGGGUAAUGGCUCACCUAGGCGACGAUCCCUAGCUGGUCUGAGAGGAUGAUCAGCCACACUGGGACUGAGACACGGCCCAGACUCCUACGGGAGGCAGCAGUGGGGAAUAUUGCACAAUGGGCGCAAGCCUGAUGCAGCCAUGCCGCGUGUAUGAAGAAGGCCUUAGGGUUGUAAAGUACUUUCAGUCGGGAGGAAGGCUUGAUGCUAAUAUCAUCACACGAU